RNAcentral lists this ribosomal RNA (443 nucleotides) under uncultured bacterium. RNAcentral describes it as "partial 16S ribosomal RNA". It matches the Rfam family "Bacterial small subunit ribosomal RNA", at positions 338 to 795 of the family's 1533-position model. The record is from RNAcentral.
CCUACGUGUGGCAGCAGUGGGGAAUAUUGGGCAAUGGGCGCAAGCCUGACCCAGCAACGCCGCGUGAAGGAAGAAGGUUUUCGGGUUGUAAACUUCUUUUCUCAGGGACGAAGAAAGUGACGGUACCUUAGGAAUAAGCCUCGGCUAACUACGUGCCAGCAGCCGCGGUAAUACGUAGGUGGCAAGCGUUAUCCGGAUUUACUGGGUGUAAAGGGCGUGUAGGCGGUUAAGCAAGUCAGUUGUGAAAACCAUGGGCUCAACCUGUGGCCUACAUUUGAAACUGUUUUACUUGAGUGCUGGAGAGGCAGACGGAAUUCCUAGUGUAGCGGUGAAAUGCGUAGAUAUUAGGAGGAACACCAGUGGCGAAGGCGGUUUGCUGGACAGCAACUGACACUGAGGCGCGAAAGCGUGGGGAGCAAACAGGAUUAGAUACCCCUGUAGUC